GGCCUGGUGGUGUAGUGGGAACACGUCCUUAGUCUGUAAUGAAGAUUGAAGUGUGUAAAAGGAAAAGUCCCGUUCGAUUCGGGGCCGGGCUA
Non-coding RNA from Mycena galericulata, 92 nucleotides. The record is from the annotation of a GenBank genome assembly. NCBI's taxonomy places the organism in Eukaryota, Fungi, Basidiomycota, Agaricomycetes, Agaricales, Mycenaceae.